CCACCCAAUGCGCCGCCAAUACCGGCUUCGGUGGUGCCACCUGCCGAGGCAACGCCACUGAGCAGGCCGAGAGACAACAACAGAAUCGAGGAGUACUUCAUCAAGAAAGCCUCAUAGGGAUGACGAGGCGAUCCUGAGGCUGGCGAAGGGGGCUGGCAACGGAAAUCCGACGAGUAACACGACUUGUGCACAAUUCGCUAAGUUACUGUUUUAACUAUGAAACUUUAUUGAUUUUACGCUGUCUGAGCUUACUUGAGACAAGGCCCCGGCAUCGCUGCCAGGGCCUUUUUUUUCGUUCUCGAACAGAGAAUGCUGUCACAGGAUGCGGGCGUUGUCGCUGGCGGCCAGCAGUUUGAUCGCGACGAACUUCGAGGUCGGGGUGUGGCUGCCGU
Non-coding RNA from Pseudomonas alkylphenolica, 392 nucleotides. Lineage: Bacteria; Pseudomonadati; Pseudomonadota; Gammaproteobacteria; Pseudomonadales; Pseudomonadaceae. The record is from Rfam.